RNAcentral lists this long non-coding RNA (1668 nucleotides) under Cyanoderma ruficeps (rufous-capped babbler). RNAcentral describes it as "lncRNA (ENSCRFG00000011255.1)". Lineage: Eukaryota; Metazoa; Chordata; Aves; Passeriformes; Timaliidae. The record is from RNAcentral.
UUGAUGAAAAUAUCUGCAUCAUCCUUAAACUCCCUCUCCUGGACCAAGGUCUUGGAGACCUUUUGUCUGAAAGAAAAGCACUGGUGGUGCCAGAACCUGAACCAGACUCUGAGAAUAAUCAGGAGCACAAAGAUGAGAGAGAAACAAGCAGAAGGACUGGAGCCAGUAUUCUCCUUCCUGGCCACUCUAGCCAGCAGUACCAUUGAGGAGAUGCAAUCUCCGCUGCAGGAGCGUGUGGAGUCCUCCUGCUGUGCUGUUGCCCAGACUCUGACAGUGUGACAAGCUGCAGGAGAAGGUGGAUGUGCUGUCUGACAAGCUGAAUAGUGGAGAUAUUUCACUGAUGGAAGAAAUAGUAGUGGAGCUGCAUUCCUACCUGUCACAUGAGAAUGGAUGGCUGCAGGAACUGGCUGAUGUUCUUCAGGAGAAGUACAGAGUCAUGUCUCAGGAGAGGUACCUUGCUUCAGGUGGGGAAAGCAGAAUUCCAGGUGUCUGUCCUGGAGACCAUGACUGAUGACCUUCAGUGGGACCUUGACAAAUCCACAAGAGGGAGCAGAGGCUCAACCGCCACCUGGCUGGGGUGUCCUGGAACGAGUAAAUUCCAAAGGCUACAAGGUGUAUGGAGCUGGGAGCAGCCUCUAUGGGGGAACAAUCACCAUUAAUGCAAGGUUCGUAUCUUUGAGAGAAACUGUUUCAGGACCCAAGAGUCAAAAACUUACGUGAUGUGGUUGUGCAAGACAAGCAGCCUAGUGCAUGCAGAGACCACAGAGACUUUUAAAAAUUGGUACUGGGGCAUAUCACUUGGACACAUUGCUUCAUAGCAAUGCUCUUGAAGUUCUACUUUUGUCUUUGCCUGGGGCAGCUGGAUUCAUUGUUCUCCUGUCUUGAGGGACAGAAAUCAAAGGCAGAGAGAUAAUAUUCCUUUUUGUGGCGUUUCUCUGUGUCCUAAUGUCCUGGGUUAUGGAACCAAAAAAUGUGGAUCCUGUUUCAUCUGUUGAAAGCAGCUGGGGAGAUGUUUAUCUCUUGUAAUGCCAGGGGGGAGAGGGGGUGGAUGCCUUCAGAUAAUGGCCCAGCUGUUCAGGCCAGGUGGGGCAGUGUUUUUUAUCUUUUUCCAUCUUCUGGGGGGAUAUCUUCUGUUAAUGGGUCAUUAAGACUCACCAAUGACAUGACACAUGACAUCAUCCCAUUGUGAGAUGCUCCACCCAGUGUGGGGGACCCAGCCAUCCCUACCUAGAUGAAAACUGAGACAUAGGAACACCAGGUAUGUGGUUCCAGUGGAUUCCCGGAGGAACACCAGGCCCUUCUCGCCAUCACUGGACCCUUUUUCUACAGAACCAUCUCCACCCCAACAGAACCACAUCUGCCACUCCAGGAGGGCUUACUUUGGACUGCUUCCAACACCCUGACCAACAGGGUGUCAGGUUGUAUUUCUGACUCUGUCAGGGUUUCUAGGAUUUUUGUUUGCAUGGGUUUUUUUGUACUACUACAUUUGUACUACAUUUGUUAAUAUUCCUAGUAAAGAUCUGUUAUUCCUAUUCCCAAAUCGUUGCCUGAAGGCCCUUAAUUGUGAAAUUAUAAUCAUUUGGAGGGGGUGGGGGGUUUACAUUCUCCAUUCCAAGGGAAACUUCAGCUUGGCAGAUACGUGGCAGAUACCUGUCCUCCCAAACCAAG